AGCAGUGUGGCCUAGUAAGAAAGGCACUGGCCUGGGAGUCAGAGAACCUGGGUUCUAAUCCUGGCUCUCCCA
Molecule: transfer RNA, 72 nt
Filed under: Ornithorhynchus anatinus (platypus)
Lineage: Eukaryota; Metazoa; Chordata; Mammalia; Monotremata; Ornithorhynchidae
Rfam family: tRNA
About the family: Transfer RNA (tRNA) molecules are approximately 80 nucleotides in length. Their secondary structure includes four short double-helical elements and three loops (D, anti-codon, and T loops).
Source: Rfam by way of RNAcentral